CUGGUCUUGAACUCCUGACCUCAGGUGAUCCACCUGCCUCAGCCUCCCAAAGUGCUGAGAUUACAGGCAUGAGCCACUGCGCCUGGCCAAGAGGAUUUCUUGAGGCCAGGAGUUUCAGACCAGCCUGGGUAACAUGGUGAGACCCUGUUUCUACGAAAAAUAAAAAACUAAGUGAGCAUGGUGGUGUGCGAUUGUGGUCCUAGCUACCUGGAAGGCUGAAGUGGGAAGGAUUUGAGCCCGGCGGUUGAGGCCACAGUGACCUGUGAAUGGUGUCACUGCACUCCAACCUAGGCAACAGAGUGGGACCCUGUCUCAAAAACAAAAGAAAAAAAAAGAGUGUUCCACUAAGUUUCCUUGUAAGUGAAUCUGUACAAAAUUAAAAACAGUAAAUGAAGAAGAGUUGAAUAUAAAUUAUAUUAUUUAGGCCAUUGGUUUCAUUUUUACAGACCUUAACACGUGAACGGAAAGAAGGAGCCUUCUCCAAUUUUCCUAUUUCUGAAGAGACUAGAAAGCUUCUGAAAGCAUUUGGCCAUCCAGUGUCAUUGGUCUCAGAGGCCGGCAGUUAUUGGAGAUGUCCUUCAAGUCUAUAGUGGGUCUGAAAGGAGGGCUAUUAUUUUCUGUGAGACCAAAAAGAAUGUAACUGAAAUGGCCAUGAAUCCACACAUAAGACAGAUUUAGAUGAGCGUCCCCGGCGUUGGCGUUGGCGUCAUCGUCCUGGUCUCCGUCCGCCAGGCGCUCCCGCACCCUUGCUGACCCUGCCGCCCGCAGCCCUGGCGCUCCCUGCGGGCCCUGCCGAGGCUGUGCCAGCGCGCGCCCUGAGAGUCGGUGGGCGCCGACUGCGGCCACCGCUUCUGUUGGGCGUGCGUGGUGUGCUUCUGGGCCGAGGAGGAUGGGCCCUUCACGUGCCCCGAGUGCGCCAACGACUGCUGGCAGCACGCCGUGGAGCCUGGCCGGCUCCCGCGUAGCCGCCGCCUUCUGGCGCUCGAGGCGGU
This 992-nucleotide long non-coding RNA is filed under the name Piliocolobus tephrosceles (Ugandan red Colobus). RNAcentral's name for it is "lncRNA (ENSPTEG00000009205.1)". The record is from RNAcentral. Lineage: Eukaryota; Metazoa; Chordata; Mammalia; Primates; Cercopithecidae.